RNAcentral lists this transfer RNA (35 nucleotides) under Crotaphytus grismeri. RNAcentral describes it as "partial tRNA-Asx". Lineage: Eukaryota; Metazoa; Chordata; Lepidosauria; Squamata; Crotaphytidae. The record is from RNAcentral.
AUGGAUAGGAGGGCCUCGAUCCCACAAAAACUUAG